This 368-nucleotide ribosomal RNA is filed under the name uncultured bacterium. RNAcentral's name for it is "bacterial SSU rRNA". It matches the Rfam family "Bacterial small subunit ribosomal RNA", at positions 28 to 389 of the family's 1533-position model. The record is from RNAcentral.
GAUGAACGCUAGCGGGAGGCUUAAUACAUGCAAGUCGCACGGCAGCAUUGAUAUAGUAAUAUAUUAGAUGGCGAGUGGCGCACGGGUGAGUAACGCGUACACAACCUACCCUUAAGAGGGGGAUAACUCAGAGAAAUUUGGGAUAAUACCCCAUAAUAUCGGAGAUAUGCAUAUAUUUUUGAUUAAAGUUACGGCGCUUAAGGAUGGGUGUGCGUUAGAUUAGGUAGUUGGUGAGGUAACGGCUCACCAAGCCGACGAUCUAUAAGGGGCGUGAGAGCGUGGUCCCUCACACGGGUACUGAGACACGGACCCGACUCCUACGGGAGGCAGCAGUAAGGAAUAUUGGACAAUGCCCGCAAGGGUGAUCC